GCCAUGGCUUUGCAGAGCGUUCUGGAAGCCCUGUGGCUGGAGCUCCUCCUCAGCUCUCUCUGGAAGGUUGCAGAGAGCAAGGACCGAGUAUUGCAGCCUUCCACUGUGGUCUCUUCGGAGGGUGCUCUGGCAGAAAUCUCCUGUAAUCACUCUAUAUCCAAUGCUUACGACUUCUUCUGGUACCUUCACUUCCCAGGAUGUGCACCAAGACUCCUUGUUAAGGGCUCAAGGCCUUCUCAGCAGGGACGGUACAACAUGACAUAUGAGCGGUUCUCUUCAUCACUGCUUAUCCUCCAGGCGCAGACGGCAGAUGCAGCCAUUUACUACUGUGCUCUGGGGGACACAGAGGCAGGGAAUCCAUGAAGAGCUGAACAGAAACAAGGAGAGAUCACAGCCUUUGCAGGAGGUGGAAAAAAGAUGAGCAAUAACGGUUCACCCCACCACCCCCAAUUCAGCAU
Molecule: non-coding RNA, 458 nt
Organism: Eubalaena glacialis (North Atlantic right whale)
Lineage: Eukaryota; Metazoa; Chordata; Mammalia; Artiodactyla; Balaenidae
Source: the annotation of a RefSeq genome assembly